RNAcentral lists this ribosomal RNA (422 nucleotides) under uncultured Actinomycetes bacterium. Its description in RNAcentral is "bacterial SSU rRNA". It matches the Rfam family "Bacterial small subunit ribosomal RNA", at positions 233 to 671 of the family's 1533-position model. Lineage: Bacteria; Bacillati; Actinomycetota; Actinomycetes. The record is from RNAcentral.
GCGGCCUAUCAGCUUGUUGGCGGGGUAAUGGCCCACCAAGGCAACGACGGGUAGCUGGUCUGAGAGGAUGGUCAGCCACACUGGGACUGAGACACGGCCCAGACUCCUACGGGAGGCAGCAGUGGGGAAUCUUGCGCAAUGGGCGAAAGCCUGAUGCAGCGAUGCCGCGUGCGGGAAGAAGGCCUUAGGGUUGUAAACCGCUUUCAGGAGGGAAGAAAAUGACGGUACCUCCAGAAGAAGGUGCGGCCAACUACGUGCCAGCAGCCGCGGUGACACGUAGGCACCAAGCGUUAUCCGGAUUUAUUGGGCGUAAAGAGCUCGUAGGCGGUUUGGUAAGUCGGGUGUGAAAACUCUGGGCUCAACCCAGAGAGGCCACUCGAUACUGCUAUGACUAGAGUACGGUAGGGGAGACUGGAAUUCCU